RNAcentral lists this ribosomal RNA (443 nucleotides) under uncultured bacterium. RNAcentral's name for it is "bacterial SSU rRNA". It matches the Rfam family "Bacterial small subunit ribosomal RNA", at positions 354 to 796 of the family's 1533-position model. The record is from RNAcentral.
GUGAGGAAUUAUGCACAAUGGAGGAAACUCUGAUGCUGCAACGCCGCGUGUGGGACGAAGGGGCUACGCCCUGUAAACCACUGUCAGCAAGGAAAAAAAGUCUGCUUAGUGGACUGGGAUUGUACUUGCAGAGGAAGGGUCGGCUAACUACGUGCCAGCAGCCGCGGUAAUACGUAGGACCCAAGCGUUGUCCGGAAUUACUGGGUGUAAAGGGUGCGCAGGCGGGCUUGUGCGUCGAGGGUUAAAGACCCCAGCUUAACUGGGGAAGUGCCCUCGAUACGGCAAGUCUUGAGUGUGAGAGAGGAAAGUGGAAUUCUUGGUGUAGCAGUGAAAUGCGUAGAUAUCAAGAGGAACACCGGUGGCGAAGGCGGCUUUCUGGCUCACAACUGACGCUCAGGCACGAAAGCGUGGGUAGCGAACAGGAUUAGAAACCCGUGUAGUCC